CGUAGGUGGCAAGCGUUGUCCGGAUUUAUUGGGUUUAAAGGGUGCGUAGGCGGCUUUGUAAGUCAGUGGUGAAAUACUCCAGCUCAACUGGAGAGGUGCCAUUGAUACUGCAGAGCUAGAGUACUGAUGAGGUAGGCGGAAUGGACGGUGUAGCGGUGAAAUGCUUAGAUAUCGUCCAGAACACCGAUAGCGAAGGCAGCUUACUAAAGAGUAACUGACGCUGAGGCACGAAAGUGUGGGGAUCAAACAGGAUUAGAUACCCUGGUAGUCCACACUGUAAACGUUGAUCACUAGAUGUUGGCGAUACACUGCCAGCGUUCCAGCAAAAAGCGAUAAGUGAUCCACCUGGGGAGUACGCCCGCAAGGGUG
Molecule: ribosomal RNA, 369 nt
Filed under: uncultured organism
Description: bacterial SSU rRNA
Rfam family: Bacterial small subunit ribosomal RNA
Source: RNAcentral